Panthera pardus (leopard) is the source of this 181-nucleotide unclassified non-coding RNA. Its record names the gene 7SK. It matches the Rfam family "7SK RNA". Rfam says of the family: 7SK was discovered as an abundant small nuclear RNA in the mid-70s but a possible function has only recently been suggested. Two independent studies have found that 7SK RNA binds the CDK9/cyclin T complex (known as elongation factor P-TEFb). P-TEFb activates transcription by phosphorylating the C-terminal domain of RNA polymerase II. Lineage: Eukaryota; Metazoa; Chordata; Mammalia; Carnivora; Felidae. The record is from Ensembl.
GGAUUUGCCUGCGUGUCACCUCUCCAUGUGACCACUCAUGUUAAAGGACCCCUUAGAUCCCCUGCAAGAACCUUCAAACAAGCUCUCAGGGUCCGUUUGUGGGAGAACGUAGGGUAGUGGAGCUUCUAAGACUCCAGACACAUCCAAAUGAGACACUGCACGUGGCAGUCUUUCUUUCUUU